This 253-nucleotide ribosomal RNA is filed under the name uncultured bacterium. RNAcentral describes it as "partial 16S ribosomal RNA". It matches the Rfam family "Bacterial small subunit ribosomal RNA", at positions 524 to 776 of the family's 1533-position model. The record is from RNAcentral.
UACGUAGGGACCGAGCGUUGUUCGGAUUCAUUGGGCGUAAAGGGUGUGUAGGUGGCGCGCUAAGUCGGGUGUGAAAUUUCGGAGCUUAACUCCGAAACUGCAUUCGAUACUGGCGUGCUUGAGGACUGGAGAGGAGACUGGAAUUCAUGGUGUAGCAGUGAAAUGCGUAGAGAUCAUGAGGAAGACCAGUGGCGAAGGCGGGUCUCUGGACAGUUCCUGACACUGAGACACGAAGGCCAGGGGAGCAAACGGG